GUCAACUGGAAUUAGUAGUAAACCUUAUGCAGUAAUUAUGUCUGUACUCCUCAGCAACUACUCCCUGUACGGCUACGACGCUGCAGCUCAUUUAACCGAGGAAACAAAAGGUGCUGACAGAACUGGACCUAUUGCCAUUCUUUCUAGCAUUGGCAUCAUCUCAGUUUUUGGAUGGGCUUAUAAUUUAGCUCUUACUUUCAGUAUCAAGGAUCCUAGCUAUUUAUACGAUGGGAACAAUGAGACUGGCGGUGCACUGGUGCCAGCACAGAUAAUUUAUGAUGCAUUUCAUGGGAGGUAUCAUAAUUCAGCAGGAGCUGUAGUUUUCCUCUGUAUCAUCUGGGGAUCUUUCUUCUUUUGUGGACUUUCAGUGACGACUAGUGCUGGCAGAGUGGUUUAUGCUUUAUCAAGAGACAAUGGAAUCCCAUUUU
This 428-nucleotide unclassified non-coding RNA is filed under the name Hevea brasiliensis (rubber tree). The record is from RNAcentral. Lineage: Eukaryota; Viridiplantae; Streptophyta; Magnoliopsida; Malpighiales; Euphorbiaceae.